AAUGCAUGAAUUUCAGGCAACUCUGGGAUGUCCCAAGGUGAAGUGGGAUUGAUGAGAGAGGGGGUAAUUCGGGCAUUCCACAAUACGAUUGGAUUGUAUUCUCUAUGGGAUGGGUUCUAAAUUGAGAUUCUAAGGAAGAAGUUGACAUGAUUCUCUUUUCACGUUAGAAAGAUCACUGUGUGUAGGAUGGAUUGAAGGAGACUAGCUUGAUUCAGGCCAUGAAGUUAUGCUACUGAAACCAUCUGAGCAAGAGGUGCUGAUACGUCGAGGAUGUUGGCAAGAUGGUGCAGUGGUUAAGCAUGUGGUCAACUCCUUACCAUAAAGAAACAAAGAAUCAGAGAUCUGCACAAUAGUUUACCAUCUGAGUUCAUAGGUCCUGCAAACAGCUGGUGCAGGAAAAAGUCAACUGCUUAAGAUAAAUCAUCAAAAAGGUACCUUAUAGCAUAAGCACUAUAUGGAAACUAGAAGAAAGGAACAAACAACAACAACAAAAGAAUGGAACAGAGAAAACACAUGGCAUAUAAGGAACACUCAUCAGAAAAACAUAGCU
Molecule: long non-coding RNA, 550 nt
Organism: Equus quagga
Lineage: Eukaryota; Metazoa; Chordata; Mammalia; Perissodactyla; Equidae
Exons: 3
Source: RefSeq, a predicted model, not a curated record